RNAcentral lists this ribosomal RNA (601 nucleotides) under uncultured bacterium. Its description in RNAcentral is "bacterial SSU rRNA". It matches the Rfam family "Bacterial small subunit ribosomal RNA", at positions 62 to 695 of the family's 1533-position model. The record is from RNAcentral.
UCGAACGAGCAUUAUUACUUCGGUUUGAUAUGCUGAGUGGCGGACGGGUGAGUAACGCGUGGGUACCUGCCUUGUACUGGGGGAUAGCAGCUGGAAACGGCUGGUAAUACCGCAUAAGGUUGCAUGACAAAAACUCCGGUGGUAUAAGAUGGACCCGCGUCUGAUUAGCUAGUUGGUGAGAUAACAGCCCACCAAGGCGACGAUCAGUAGCCGACCUGAGAGGGUGACCGGCCACAUUGGGACUGAGACACGGCCCAGACUCCUACGGGAGGCAGCAGUGGGGAAUAUUGCACAAUGGAGGAAACUCUGAUGCAGCGACGCCGCGUGAGUGAAGAAGUAAUUCGUUAUGUAAAGCUCUAUCAGCAGGGAAGAUAGUGACGGUACCUGACUAAGAAGCUCCGGCUAAAUACGUGCCAGCAGCCGCGGUAAUACGUAUGGAGCAAGCGUUAUCCGGAUUUACUGGGUGUAAAGGGAGUGUAGGUGGCCAUGCAAGUCAGAAGUGAAAAUCCGGGGCUCAACCCCGGAACUGCUUUUGAAACUGUAAGGCUAGAGUGCAGGAGGGGUGAGUGGAAUUCCUAGUGUAGCGGUGAAAUGCGUAGAU